UUUUUCUUAGCCAAACGUGAUGAACAAAACGGAGCGAUUUCUCCUACACAAAUAAUAUUUUUGGAAAAACUGAACAUUUGCUAUCUAACUGAGAGUCUCCUCAUUGAAAACAUCCGAAGUUCUUCAAAGGUAUCUUCACGCACGACUGGAUAGGCCUUUUGGAUACGCUUGUCCAAGGCCCAAGACAUAAAGUCUCCUGAAAGCUGUGUAGCAAUCAUUCCAUUGCUGACCCAUAGGAUGGUAAUCACAUACAUGAUUGGCUUCAUCUAGAAUCAUGGAUACCUUUCAUACCUUCUCAUCACAAGUUGGAACUAGUGGUCAACAUUGGGACAAUGCAGCCAUAAAUAACAUGGACCAAUAUUUUCAUGGAGUGAGCAAGACCUGCCAGCAGAGCUCACUGGAGCAGGGAGACAUGCCAUCAUCCUUUUGGCGCCUGACAAAGUACACUUUUUUUCUUCUAAAUAACACGAUAGUAACAUCUUCUGCACAAAGUUAC
This is a long non-coding RNA of Oncorhynchus tshawytscha (Chinook salmon), 496 nucleotides long. NCBI's taxonomy places the organism in Eukaryota, Metazoa, Chordata, Actinopteri, Salmoniformes, Salmonidae. The record is from Ensembl.